GACAAUUAAAUAUACAGUGAUCACAUUUUUGUGUACUAUACACAGUUACACUAUGCAGGAAUCAAUUUCUGUAUGUUGCAAACAAUCAAAUAAAGUUUGAUUUCUUUAAAAGGCAUAAAAGUAGUUAUUUUGUGUUAAAACAUAUUUUUCUUUCGCACUGUCCUCCUGUUUAGUCCAGACUCACUCUUCACACUGGGGCUGUUCUGGCUCUUUUCUGAAGCUCAGUUCUGGAAAUACUUUGAGAUGCUGAACUUCAAAUAGGCCUCCAAUAAGAAAAUCUCCAUCCUGGUACAUCCCAUUCAGCUUAAAGUGUCCCUGGAUCUGACAGGAGUUUGAGCUGGGAAUAAAGGUAGCUGAGAUGCAGUGUGUUACAUUGGACAUCAUCUAGAUGGCAGUCAUGUGUUGGACUUUGUGUUCUUAAUGCGUAUGGUCCAUCAUAAACACCCUUGUGUACCUCCUGUGGUUAUGAGAGGACCUCUCACUAUCUUCUGGGGAUUGGGUAACACAAAUAAUUAAAGCAGUUUUUAACGAAAAAGAGGCUCCGACCCUUUACUAGCAAGUUGUACAUAAUAAAGUGGCAGUGUUCCUCUCUGGAUGUAAAAGGAUGAUGUAGCACUUCGGUGCAAAUAUGGCCACCAAUAAUCCAAAACUGGAUGCCAAGAUGGCAAAAAUCUCCACAGCCACUGCAUAUUUCCC
Paramisgurnus dabryanus is the source of this 696-nucleotide non-coding RNA. Lineage: Eukaryota; Metazoa; Chordata; Actinopteri; Cypriniformes; Cobitidae. The record is from RefSeq and is a predicted model, not a curated record.